GACGAACGCUGGCGGCGUGCUUAACACAUGCAAGUCGAACGGAAAGGCCCUGCUUAGGUGGGGUGCUCGAGUGGCGAACGGGUGAGUAACACGUGGGUAACCUGCCCUUGACUGUGGGAUAACUUCAGGAAACUGGGGCUAAUACCGGAAAGGAGCUCCUGCUGCAGGGUGGGGGUUGGAAAGUUUCGGCGGUUGGGGUUGGACUCGCGGCUUAUCAGCUUGUUGGUGGGGUAGUGGCUUACCAAGGCUUGGAGGGGUGGCCGGGCUGGGAGGGUGACCGGCCCAACUAGGACGGGGCUACGGCCCAGCCUCCUCCGCGAGGGAGGAGUGGGGAAUAUUGUACUGUGGGCUGAAGCAUAGUCUGAUAACGCCGCGUGCGGGAUGACAGGCUUGGGUUUGUAAUCCGAUUCCGCCUGUGACGAAACGUGAGUGACGGUAAUGGGUAAAGAAGCACCGGCUAACUACGUG
RNAcentral lists this ribosomal RNA (468 nucleotides) under uncultured bacterium. RNAcentral's name for it is "partial 16S ribosomal RNA". It matches the Rfam family "Bacterial small subunit ribosomal RNA", at positions 28 to 507 of the family's 1533-position model. The record is from RNAcentral.